GCCGCGGUGGUCUAGUGGCUAAGGUACUGGGCUACUGACCCGCAGGUCGCGGGUUCGAAUCCCGGCUGCGGCA
RNAcentral lists this transfer RNA (73 nucleotides) under Rhipicephalus microplus (southern cattle tick). RNAcentral's name for it is "tRNA-Ser". It matches the Rfam family "tRNA". Rfam says of the family: Transfer RNA (tRNA) molecules are approximately 80 nucleotides in length. Their secondary structure includes four short double-helical elements and three loops (D, anti-codon, and T loops). Further hydrogen bonds mediate the characteristic L-shaped molecular structure. tRNAs have two regions of fundamental functional importance: the anti-codon, which is responsible for specific mRNA codon recognition, and the 3' end, to which the tRNAs corresponding amino acid is attached (by aminoacyl-tRNA synthetases). tRNAs cope with the degeneracy of the genetic code in two manners: having more than one tRNA (with a specific anti-codon) for a particular amino acid; and 'wobble' base-pairing, i.e. permitting non-standard base-pairing at the 3rd anti-codon position. The record is from Rfam by way of RNAcentral. Lineage: Eukaryota; Metazoa; Arthropoda; Arachnida; Ixodida; Ixodidae.